RNAcentral lists this ribosomal RNA (381 nucleotides) under Scenedesmus sp. RNAcentral describes it as "partial small subunit ribosomal RNA". It matches the Rfam family "Eukaryotic small subunit ribosomal RNA", at positions 587 to 975 of the family's 1831-position model. Lineage: Eukaryota; Viridiplantae; Chlorophyta; Chlorophyceae; Sphaeropleales; Scenedesmaceae. The record is from RNAcentral.
AGCUCCAAUAGCGUAUAUUUAAGUUGUUGCAGUUAAAAAGCUCGUAGUUGGAUUUCGGGUGGGUUUCAGCGGUCCGCCUAUGGUGAGCACUGCUGUGGCCUUCCUUACUGUCGGGGACCUGCUUCUGGGCUUCAUUGUCCGGGACAGGGAUUCGGCAUGGUUACUUUGAGUAAAUUAGAGUGUUCAAAGCAGGCUUACGCCGUGAAUACUUUAGCAUGGAAUAACACGAUAGGACUCUGCCCUAUUCUGUUGGCCUGUAGGAGUGGAGUAAUGAUUAAGAGGAACAGUCGGGGGCAUUCGUAUUUCAUUGUCAGAGGUGAAAUUCUUGGAUUUAUGAAAGACGAACUACUGCGAAAGCAUUUGCCAAGGAUGUUUUCAUUA